Molecule: ribosomal RNA, 489 nt
Filed under: uncultured bacterium
Lineage: Bacteria
Description: partial 16S ribosomal RNA
Rfam family: Bacterial small subunit ribosomal RNA
Source: RNAcentral
AUGCACGCUAGCUACAGGCUUAACACAUGCAAGUCGAGGGGCAGCGGGAUUGAAGCUUGCUUCAAUUGCCGGCGACCGGCGCACGGGUGAGUAACGCGUAUCCAACCUUCCGUACACUCAGGGAUAGCCUUUCGAAAGAAAGAUUAAUACCUGAUGGUAUGAUGAGAUUGCAUGAUAUCAUCAUUAAAGAUUUAUCGGUGUACGAUGGGGAUGCGUUCCAUUAGGUAGUAGGCGGGGUAACGGCCCACCUAGCCAACGAUGGAUAGGGGUUCUGAGAGGAAGGUCCCCCACAUUGGAACUGAGACACGGUCCAAACUCCUACGGGAGGCAGCAGUGAGGAAUAUUGGUCAAUGGACGAGAGUCUGAACCAGCCAAGUAGCGUGAAGGAUGAAGGUCCUACGGAUUGUAAACUUCUUUUAUAAGGGAAUAAACCCUCCCACGUGUGGGAGCUUGUAUGUACCUUAUGAAUAAGCAUCGGCUAACUCCGUG